This 23-nucleotide microRNA is filed under the name Canis lupus familiaris (dog). The record is from RNAcentral. Lineage: Eukaryota; Metazoa; Chordata; Mammalia; Carnivora; Canidae.
UAGUGACUGCAAGCCUGAGUAGA